GGGGAUUUAGCUCAGUGGCAUAAGUGCCUGCCUGGCAAGCACGAGGUCAUAAAUUCAAUCCCCA
Molecule: transfer RNA, 64 nt
Filed under: Cavia porcellus (domestic guinea pig)
Lineage: Eukaryota; Metazoa; Chordata; Mammalia; Rodentia; Caviidae
Rfam family: tRNA
About the family: Transfer RNA (tRNA) molecules are approximately 80 nucleotides in length. Their secondary structure includes four short double-helical elements and three loops (D, anti-codon, and T loops).
Source: Rfam by way of RNAcentral